RNAcentral lists this ribosomal RNA (688 nucleotides) under Salmonella enterica. RNAcentral describes it as "partial 23S ribosomal RNA". It matches the Rfam family "Bacterial large subunit ribosomal RNA", at positions 161 to 888 of the family's 2925-position model. The record is from RNAcentral. Lineage: Bacteria; Pseudomonadati; Pseudomonadota; Gammaproteobacteria; Enterobacterales; Enterobacteriaceae.
AAUCCAUAGGUUAAUGAGGCGAACCGGGGGAACUGAAACAUCUAAGUACCCCGAGGAAAAGAAAUCAACCGAGAUUCCCCCAGUAGCGGCGAGCGAACGGGGAGGAGCCCAGAGCCUGAAUCAGCAUGUGUGUUAGUGGAAGCGUCUGGAAAGGCGCGCGAUACAGGGUGACAGCCCCGUACACAAAAGCGCAUGUGCUGUGAGCUCGAUGAGUAGGGCGGGACACGUGGUAUCCUGUCUGAAUAUGGGGGGACCAUCCUCCAAGGCUAAAUACUCCUGACUGACCGAUAGUGAACCAGUACCGUGAGGGAAAGGCGAAAAGAACCCCGGCGAGGGGAGUGAAAAAGAACCUGAAACCGUGUACGUACAAGCAGUGGGAGCACAGGUUUACCUGUGUGACUGCGUACCUUUUGUAUAAUGGGUCAGCGACUUAUAUUCUGUAGCAAGGUUAACCGAAUAGGGGAGCCGUAGGGAAACCGAGUCUUAACCGGGCGUUAAGUUGCAGGGUAUAGACCCGAAACCCGGUGAUCUAGCCAUGGGCAGGUUGAAGGUUGGGUAACACUAACUGGAGGACCGAACCGACUAAUGUUGAAAAAUUAGCGGAUGACCUGUGGCUGGGGGUGAAAGGCCAAUCAAACCGGGAGAUAGCUGGUUCUCCCCGAAAGCUAUUUAGGUAGCGCCUCGUGAA